AAAUAGAUAAGCUAAUUAAGCUAAUGGGCUCAUACCUCAUCAAUAAAGGACUAACCUUUUCUAUUUA
Molecule: transfer RNA, 67 nt
Filed under: Nigidius miwai
Lineage: Eukaryota; Metazoa; Arthropoda; Insecta; Coleoptera; Lucanidae
Description: tRNA-Met
Source: RNAcentral